GCAUACGACCUGAGGGCGAAAGUGGGGGACCGCAAGGCCUCAUGCUAUAGGAGCGGCCGAUGUCUGAUUAGCUAGUUGGUGGGGUAAAGGCCCACCAAGGCGACGAUCAGUAGCUGGUCUGAGAGGACGAUCAGCCACACUGGGACUGAGACACGGCCCAGACUCCUACGGGAGGCAGCAGUGGGGAAUUUUGGACAAUGGGCGAAAGCCUGAUCCAGCAAAGCCGCGUGUGUGAAGAAGGCCUUCGGGUUGUAA
RNAcentral lists this ribosomal RNA (255 nucleotides) under uncultured bacterium. RNAcentral describes it as "partial 16S ribosomal RNA". It matches the Rfam family "Bacterial small subunit ribosomal RNA", at positions 171 to 428 of the family's 1533-position model. The record is from RNAcentral.